This 65-nucleotide transfer RNA is filed under the name Dryodurgades formosana. RNAcentral describes it as "tRNA-Thr". The record is from RNAcentral. Lineage: Eukaryota; Metazoa; Arthropoda; Insecta; Hemiptera; Cicadellidae.
AUAUUAGUAAUUUAAUAAAAAUAUUAAUUUUGUAAAUUAAAAAUGGGGGAAACUACCCUAAUAUA